AGGAUUAGAUACCCUAUUAUUCUUGAGUAAGUAACUUCGAGAAGUAGAGCGUAUGAUAUUGAAAUUUAAAAGGUUUGGCGGCUUUUAGAAUAAUCAGGGGAAUUUGUCGCGUAAUCGUCAAUACGCGUUAGAUCUUACCUGUCCAUAGUUUGUAUACCGCCGUCUAAACAUCCUUAGAAAAGAAGAGUUGAUACGGGAAACUAAUACGUCAGGUCAUGGUGCAGCUUGGUCGAGGUGUUGACAAAUUACAUUUACCUUGUGUAGAGGAAUUGUGUUUAAAUAGCAGAAGGAAUAUGGACUUGUAAGUAAUUAGGGAUUAGAAUACUCUGGUGAAUUUAAAACUAAAAGUGUACAUAUCGCCCGUCACUCA
Molecule: ribosomal RNA, 370 nt
Filed under: Tylos granuliferus
Lineage: Eukaryota; Metazoa; Arthropoda; Malacostraca; Isopoda; Tylidae
Description: partial 12S small subunit ribosomal RNA
Rfam family: Bacterial small subunit ribosomal RNA
Source: RNAcentral